RNAcentral lists this long non-coding RNA (861 nucleotides) under Manihot esculenta (cassava). RNAcentral's name for it is "long non-coding RNA (MESC_LNC010681)". Lineage: Eukaryota; Viridiplantae; Streptophyta; Magnoliopsida; Malpighiales; Euphorbiaceae. The record is from RNAcentral.
GUGGGUGAUUAAAUUUGGAAAUCCUAUUGGCAUGCCAUUAUUGAAGGUACCUAAAAGAACAAAAUAACCAAUUAUCCAUGAAAGGGCAAUUUUUGCAUCUAUAACUCAGAAAGGUUAAUCAAAGAGGGCUUUGACUAUGAUAAUAUUUCAAAUGAAAAGGAAAAGGAAAAAUCCUGGUAACCAUGUAGCAGAAGUCCUUAACCUAGGAAGCUAAGUGAGCUGCACAUUCAGUAGCAAAAUCAAUUGAGUUAUGGGACUGGAAGGGCACCAUUCGUUCUUUGGGGGGAAAUGGCUCUUAUUUUUGAUAUCUGUCACCAUUUCUGGUUAGUCGGGAUGGAAAGAAACAGAAGGGUUUCAAUAAAGAGGAAUACAGUACUACACUGUUAGAGAUUGGGGGCCUAGGACCAUCAGACUUGGAAUUGUAGGUGUUAAAUUUGGGCCAGGCCUAACUCACUCCAAAAGCUAGCUCAAGGGGGAGGAGUGCCUAUGGCCCAUAUAAGGGGCACAUUACCCCUUUCCACAACCGAUGUGGGAUUCAACACACCCCCUCACGCUCAGAAUUUUUACUGGUGCGUGGCACAUUUAUAGGGCGCCCAACAUCGGAUGGGGAGGCUCUGAUACCAUGUUAAAUUUAAGUCAGGCCUAACUCACCCCAAAAGCUAGCUCAAGGGGGAGGAUUGCCUAUGACUCAUAUAAGGGGCACAUUACCCCUUUCCACAACCGAUGUGGGAUUCAACGCACCACCUCACGCCCAGAAUUUUUUACUGGUGCGUGGCACAUUUAUGGGGCGCCCAACAUCGGAUGGGAGGCUCUGAUACCAUGUUAAAUUUGGGCCAGGCCUAACUCACUCCAAAAGCUAGC